UACGGGGGGGGCAAGCGUUGUUCGGAAUUACUGGGCGUAAAGCGAGUGUAGGUGGUUGUCAUAGUCAGGUGUGAAAGCCUUGAGCUCAACUCAAGAAAUGCACUUGAUACUGGGCGACUAGAGGACCGGAGAGGAUAGUGGAAUUCCCAGUGUAGUGGUGAAAUACGUAGAGAUUGGGAAGAACACCAGUGGCGAAGGCGGCUAUCUGGACGGUUUCUGACACUAAGACUCGAAAGCGUGGGGAGCAAACAGG
This 253-nucleotide ribosomal RNA is filed under the name uncultured bacterium. RNAcentral's name for it is "partial 16S ribosomal RNA". It matches the Rfam family "Bacterial small subunit ribosomal RNA", at positions 524 to 776 of the family's 1533-position model. The record is from RNAcentral.